RNAcentral lists this non-coding RNA (27 nucleotides) under Cricetulus griseus (Chinese hamster). Lineage: Eukaryota; Metazoa; Chordata; Mammalia; Rodentia; Cricetidae. The record is from RNAcentral.
UGCAGCUAACCAGUUUUUUAGAAUAUG